Molecule: non-coding RNA, 131 nt
Organism: Populus trichocarpa (black cottonwood)
Lineage: Eukaryota; Viridiplantae; Streptophyta; Magnoliopsida; Malpighiales; Salicaceae
Source: Rfam
UAAUCUGUCCAGAUCCAGAUCCUCAUCUAAUUAUUGCAGAACCACACCUGACUGCUCGAAAUCACCUAUUAUCGUAAUCCUAACUAUAUCAUUAUAUCCACAAAAACAUGUGCAUAUUGGUAGAGCAGUCU